Molecule: non-coding RNA, 98 nt
Organism: Vicugna pacos (alpaca)
Lineage: Eukaryota; Metazoa; Chordata; Mammalia; Artiodactyla; Camelidae
Source: RefSeq, a predicted model, not a curated record
UUGUGCACUGUUGGUGGGAAUGUAAAUUGGUGCAGUCACUAUAGAAAAUAAUAAGGAAGUUCCUCAAAAAACUAAAAGUAGGACUACCAUAGGACCCA